UCGUUCCGAGCCCGUGUAUGCCCAGAAAUAUCCUCCGAUUCCGUUCGAUUUUGUGGCCCCUUUUGCACGAAAUUUUGCCUAUAAAUACCCCAUAUUCCUCUCAAUAUUUUGACCCCAAAAGCCCCAAUUUUUGCGCCGCCAGGCUGCGCAAAUUUCUCGCCGGAGUUCCGAUCUGCAACCACCAUUGUUGGAGCUCGGAGAGCACUGGGACGCCGGUAAUUCCUCGCCGGAGUUUUCGCCGGAGUUCACCAUCGCCCGGAGCUCCAUUCGCCCGUAGCUGCCACCCGAGAGAGAGGAACACGACGGAAAAGACACCUCUGUGACCGCUGUUGUCCGCUGCAUCUCGACGUCCACUUCGCCGCCGCCAAAAACCGUCGGAACCGUCGCCAAGUUCAUCGUCUGAGCCGCCGUCGCCACCGUCAUCCAUUGAUUCCGAUUGCUCGGAGUGCAACGAUUGCGACUGCAACGAUUGUCUGAACAACACCCAAGG
Long non-coding RNA from Lolium rigidum, 490 nucleotides. RefSeq lists it as uncharacterized. The transcript is spliced from 3 exons. The record is from RefSeq and is a predicted model, not a curated record. NCBI's taxonomy places the organism in Eukaryota, Viridiplantae, Streptophyta, Magnoliopsida, Poales, Poaceae.